This 505-nucleotide ribosomal RNA is filed under the name uncultured bacterium. Its description in RNAcentral is "partial 16S ribosomal RNA". It matches the Rfam family "Bacterial small subunit ribosomal RNA", at positions 28 to 507 of the family's 1533-position model. The record is from RNAcentral.
GACGAACGCUGGCGGCGUGCCUAAUACAUGCAAGUAGAACGCACAGUUUAUACCGUAGCUUGCUACACCAUAGACUGUGAGUUGCGAACGGGUGAGUAACGCGUAGGUAACCUGCCUGGUAGCGGGGGAUAACUAUUGGAAACGAUAGCUAAUACCGCAUAAUAUUAAUUAUUGCAUGAUAAUUAAUUAAAAGGUGCAAUUGCACCACUACCAGAUGGACCUGCGUUGUAUUAGCUAGUAGGUGAGGUAACGGCUCACCUAGGCGACGAUACAUAGCCGACCUGAGAGGGUGAUCGGCCACACUGGGACUGAGACACGGCCCAGACUCCUACGGGAGGCAGCAGUAGGGAAUCUUCGGCAAUGGACGAAAGUCUGACCGAGCAACGCCGCGUGAGUGAAGAAGGUUUUCAGAUCGUAAAGCUCUGUUGUAAGAGAAGAACGGGUGUGAGAGUGGAAAGUUCACACUGUGACGGUAUCUUACCAGAAAGGGACGGCUAACUACGUG